UGAUUUUAGAGAACCCUCUCUCUACCUUC
RNAcentral lists this non-coding RNA (29 nucleotides) under Mus musculus (house mouse). Lineage: Eukaryota; Metazoa; Chordata; Mammalia; Rodentia; Muridae. The record is from RNAcentral.